RNAcentral lists this long non-coding RNA (255 nucleotides) under Cricetulus griseus (Chinese hamster). RNAcentral describes it as "lncRNA (ENSCGRG00015031599.1)". The record is from RNAcentral. Lineage: Eukaryota; Metazoa; Chordata; Mammalia; Rodentia; Cricetidae.
GCCUGCCAGCAGGUGCUAUACAUCAUUCUGUCCUCACACAGCCCUGUGGGUUGUGUAAAAGCCUCAACUUUCUAAUGAAGGAUGAUGAAACUCAGAGACCACACUGGGAAUGAGCGACGGACUGAGAGAGGCAGAGAAAGAAAAGAGGUCAGUUUUCAAGUCAUUUGGGGAACCCUUACCCCAUCCAAGUGGCAGAAUGGGCUCCAGGUGUAGGCAGCCCCACUAGAAACUCGCACACCUGCAUGCCACCUGACC